This 1219-nucleotide long non-coding RNA is filed under the name Fragaria vesca (wild strawberry). RNAcentral describes it as "long non-coding RNA (FVES_LNC004500)". Lineage: Eukaryota; Viridiplantae; Streptophyta; Magnoliopsida; Rosales; Rosaceae. The record is from RNAcentral.
AAAGAGAGUUGUGUAUCCAAAAAAUAAAAAAAAGAGAAAGAGUUGGAGAAUAAGAGGGAAAACCGAUAGUGAGAAAAGAGAGAGGCUUCACUGUCUACACUAGAUGAGAUUGUUCCCCAAUACGAAGCUUGAUUAAAGCUUUCCCCCUCAUUCAAGGUAACACGAAAUUUGGUUUCAUCUUUAUCAAUUUUACAGAAGACACAUUCGGGUUUUAGUGGGUAGCCAAGCGUUUCUCGUUCAUGAAUUGAAUUCUAUCUUCUGAUUAAUGAGUUCAAAAAAGCUUCAAUCUUUUGGAACUUAGAUUAUAGUUCAUGCUUGUUAGGUGAUACCCAAAUACUCAAAUGCACCAAAUCAUCUUUAAUUUCUGGAAAAUUGAUUUCUUUGAUGGGUUUCUUGUCACCCCAUUUGCACAUUUGAUUCAUACUUGAACAAUUUCACUCUUGUUUUUGUUGAAAUUUUGCAGCAGUUGGUUGUUUUGGAAAUGGCUGAGAGAGAACAGCAGCACCAAAGUGAAUCACAGAUGCAAUCUCCAAAGGAUGACAUGGUGGCAUGUGUGAUGGCAUUGGAGGCUGCUUUGCUUCCAUGCUUGCCUGCCAGAGAGCUUCAAGCAAUAGACCGUUCACCGCAUCCGUCUCAUCAGAGUGAGUGCCAUUAUCUCUUUACAUGUCACUUAAUGUAACUUGUUUUGUGUUUGUUUUUCUGUUUUAGUACAAAAGAUAAGUUAUUGAUAUAUUGUUUGAGCUGGUGAUCUUUGUAAUGUGUGUAUACAAUGAUUUGAAAUUUGGAAUAGCAUUUGGGGAUAUCUUCUGGUUAACGGGUGAGAAUAAGGACAUGUUAAGCUGGUUGAACACUUAGUUGGGGGUUCUGGCUUUGGCUCUGGCAAAGGAGCAUUCUAGUUUUAGUUCAAUGGAGGAGUUGGGAGAUCGAAAGAUAGUCACUGGGAGAAGGGAGAUUUUUGUGAUUUGAAGACUCUUUAACAUUCAAGGAUCAUGGUUGACAACAAAACUUAAAUAACCAAGUGCUAAUGUCUUUAGUAUUAAAUAGUGGUUCGACUAGAUAGAAGAUCUAUAUUGGCAAAAUUUGGGAGAUGGGGAGCAGCUUGUCUGUAUGGAGUGAUCCAUGGAUACCGGGAUUAACCUCAUUUAGACAUACUUCUAGUACUUCGGAGGUGGAUGCAGAUGUUAAGGAUAGCACUUUUAUAGUGUCUCCUGGUGUCUGG